This 726-nucleotide ribosomal RNA is filed under the name Triticum aestivum (bread wheat). RNAcentral's name for it is "partial small subunit ribosomal RNA". The record is from RNAcentral. Lineage: Eukaryota; Viridiplantae; Streptophyta; Magnoliopsida; Poales; Poaceae.
AUGGCGGCGAGUUCGAGUUCGCAAGGACAGAAGGGGAGAGAGACCGCGGACGAGCUACUGGCUCGGCUGAAUCUGCAGGAAGAAGAGGAUGAUGACUUUGUGUGGGAAGAAGAACUGCCGGAUUUGGGGGCGCCGGCGAAGUGGCUCGCCAUCGCACGGGUGCACACACCUAAAAGCUUCAGCCCUAAUGCUCUGUAUGGAGAUAUGCGGGCUGCUUGGAAUCCCGCGAGGACGGUUGUAUGGAGGAAGAUCAAACCUAACUUGUUCACAUCAGAGUUCGGGUGCUUGGGGGAUUGGAACAAAACGAUGAUGGAGGGCCCUUGGCUGUUCAAGGAUCAUGCAGUUAUCAUGAAGGAGUACGAUGGCUUCAAAAAACCGGACAGUAUUGUGCUAGACAGGCUCUCUGUUUGGGCCCAAAUCCACUUACUACCUAACAAUUUCUUGAUCGAGCCAGCGGUCAGAGGGAUGGCAUCUCGCAUAGGAGAGGUGGAGGAGGUCCAGCUAAAACUCCCAGCAGGUUUCUUUUGGGAGUUUGUCAGGGUGAGAGUUAAGAUUGAUAUAAACGCCAAGAUAAAGCAGUUUGUUACUGGCAGAAAAGGAGAGGAAAGGGUCAGAUACCAAGUGAAAUAUGAGAAACUUCCAAUGUUCUGCUUUAACUGUGGAGAAUUCGGGCACUGGCAUGAGGAGUGUGGCGACGGAGUUCAUGACGAGUCAACCUUUGAAUAG